UACAGAGGUCUCAAGCGUUGUUCGGAAUCACUGGGUUUAAAGGGUGCGUAGGAGGGCAGGUAAGUCAGUGGUGAAAUCCCCGAGCUUAACUUGGGAACUGCCGUUGAUACUAUCUGUCUUGAAUGUUGUGGAGGUGAGCGGAAUAUGUCAUGUAGCGGUGAAAUGCUUAGAUAUGACAUAGAACACCAAUUGCGAAGGCAGCUCGCUACACAAUUAUUGACUCUGAUGCACGAAAGCGUGGGGAUCAAACAGG
RNAcentral lists this ribosomal RNA (253 nucleotides) under uncultured bacterium. RNAcentral's name for it is "partial 16S ribosomal RNA". It matches the Rfam family "Bacterial small subunit ribosomal RNA", at positions 524 to 776 of the family's 1533-position model. The record is from RNAcentral.